GAGUUUGAUCGUGGCUCAGGACGAACGCUGGUGGCGUGCCUAAUACAUGCAAGUCGAGCGGAUCUUCAUUAGCUUGCUUUUGAAGAUCAGCGGCGGACGGGUGAGUAACACGUGGGCAACCUGCCUGUAAGACUGGGAUAACUUCGGGAAACCGGGGCUAAUACCGGAUAAUCCUUUUCCUCUCAUGAGGAAAGCUGAAAGACGGUUUCGGCUGUCACUUACAGAUGGGCCCGCGGCGCAUUAGCUAGUUGGUGAGGUAACGGCUCACCAAGGCGACGAUGCGUAGCCGACCUGAGAGGGUGAUCGGCCACACUGGGACUGAGACACGGCCCAGACUCCUACGGGAGGCAGCAGUAGGGAAUCUUCCGCAAUGGACGAAAGUCUGACGGAGCAACGCCGCGUGAGCGAUGAAGGCC
Molecule: ribosomal RNA, 416 nt
Filed under: uncultured microorganism
Description: bacterial SSU rRNA
Rfam family: Bacterial small subunit ribosomal RNA
Source: RNAcentral